Molecule: long non-coding RNA, 600 nt
Filed under: Cyanistes caeruleus (blue tit)
Lineage: Eukaryota; Metazoa; Chordata; Aves; Passeriformes; Paridae
Description: lncRNA (ENSCCEG00000022620.1)
Source: RNAcentral
CUUCUCAGCAUCUCAGCCUUGUUGUAAAGCAUAUGCUUGCCUGCACACCAACGCCUGCUCUCUCUUCACCUCCUGGAAAACACACCUGGGGGCUAAACGUGGGGUGCCGGGAAGGAGCCACGGCACAGCAGUAGCUGUCAUUUUGGCAGUCGGUGAAAAGUUUUUGUACCAAGCCUGGCAGCAGCAGAAGGAGAAGUUCCAGUGGACUCCAGCCUGAAGAUACUUCUGGAGCCAAUGUCUGGCAUUGCUCUAGAAGUACAAAAGUCCUUUAGAUCCUCCCCGGGUGGUGUUGUCUAUUUGGACUGAGAGCCUGCCUUACAGCCAUGCUGCUCCCGUGACAUCCAGCCCCAGAUACCCAGCUGAAAGCAGCAGUUACUGACGAACAAAGUACAACAGGGGACUGCUGAUGGUGAAAGGAGAAGCAGAUCUGCCCUCUUGUGUACACGACAUCUACUGCAAAUUUUUAAAAAUUAAUAUGAAGUUAAUUUAUUCCUUGUAGUAAAAAAUACGGAAAAGACACUAAUGCUUUGAGUGCUUUAACCUCACCAUAAAAAGAAGAAUAAGAAAAUAAAGGAUGAAGGAUUGGGUUAUUUCUUCUCA